CACGGGGGGAGCAAGCGUUGUUCGGAUUCAUUGGGCGUAAAGGGCUCGUAGGUGGCUUUGUAAGUCGGAGGUGAAAUCCCACGGCUCAACCGUGGACACGCCUUCGAAACUGUGAAGCUUGAGGCUGGGAGAGGAAAUCGGAAUUCCUGGUGUAGCGGUGAAAUGCGCAGAUAUCGGGAAGAACACCAAUGGCGAAAGCAGCUUUCUGGGACGGUACUGACGCUGAGACGCGAAAGCGUGGGGAGCAAACAGG
RNAcentral lists this ribosomal RNA (253 nucleotides) under uncultured bacterium. RNAcentral's name for it is "partial 16S ribosomal RNA". It matches the Rfam family "Bacterial small subunit ribosomal RNA", at positions 524 to 776 of the family's 1533-position model. The record is from RNAcentral.